AUGUAUAUGCAGAGUGAAUAAGAGAUUACAUUAAUCAACAAAAGUAAUACCUGCUCCCUCUUACUUUUGUCUCCUAGAUUUCUGCUUAGUAUUACAAGGAGACACAGGCAUUUAAAACUUAAGACUUAUAUUAACCACUUGCAAAAGCAAAAUAUCAAAAAGAAAACACCAAAAUCGAAACACUGAAGUGACAGCAAAUUCUGUCACAGCCUCUUCGCUCCUUCUUGGCAAAAUAC
This 236-nucleotide long non-coding RNA is filed under the name Ricinus communis (castor bean). RNAcentral's name for it is "long non-coding RNA (RCOM_LNC001018)". The record is from RNAcentral. Lineage: Eukaryota; Viridiplantae; Streptophyta; Magnoliopsida; Malpighiales; Euphorbiaceae.